RNAcentral lists this ribosomal RNA (465 nucleotides) under Vreelandella stevensii. Its description in RNAcentral is "partial 16S ribosomal RNA". It matches the Rfam family "Bacterial small subunit ribosomal RNA", at positions 338 to 795 of the family's 1533-position model. Lineage: Bacteria; Pseudomonadati; Pseudomonadota; Gammaproteobacteria; Oceanospirillales; Halomonadaceae. The record is from RNAcentral.
CCUACGGGUGGCAGCAGUGGGGAAUAUUGGACAAUGGGGGCAACCCUGAUCCAGCCAUGCCGCGUGUGUGAAGAAGGCCCUCGGGUUGUAAAGCACUUUCAGUGAGGAAGAACGCCUGGUGGUUAAUACCCAUCAGGAAAGACAUCACUCACAGAAGAAGCACCGGCUAACUCCGUGCCAGCAGCCGCAGUAAUACGGAGGGUGCGAGCGUUAAUCGGAAUUACUGGGCGUAAAGCGCGCGUAGGUGGCUUGAUAAGCCGGUUGUGAAAGCCCCGGGCUCAACCUGGGAACGGCAUCCGGAACUGUCCAGCUAGAGUGCAGGAGAGGAAGGUAGAAUUCCCGGUGUAGCGGUGAAAUGCGUAGAGAUCGGGAGGAAUACCAGUGGCGAAGGCGGCCUUCUGGACUGACACUGACACUGAGGUGCGAAAGCGUGGGUAGCAAACAGGAUUAGAUACCCUAGUAGUC